Homo sapiens (human) is the source of this 1599-nucleotide long non-coding RNA. Ensembl annotates it as long intergenic non-protein coding RNA 1093. NCBI's taxonomy places the organism in Eukaryota, Metazoa, Chordata, Mammalia, Primates, Hominidae. The record is from Ensembl.
UCUUUCCUCUCUUGCAAACCAUGGGCACCCUUGGGUCCCUUGGGGUCACUAUGUUACACCUGCUUUUUAUCUGUCUGGGCAAGAGCUGCUCAAGCCACACCUUGUGACACUGAGGUGAAAAGGCAGGUCGGGUGAAGAAGAGCAGGAUGUUUCAUUUUUAUCAAGCAUCACCUGAUUCAAAAUGUAGCCACUGAAAAGAAGCCAUCGUUUUUGGCCUGCGUCUCUGAGGAUAAGAUAAUCAGCUAUGAAAAUACCCAGCCGGCCUGCAGCCCUCCCGGCAGAUGCUGAAAAGGAAACCCGACUGGGAGAUGCCGCCCACCCUUAUCCCCAGAGAGCUGCGUUGUUUCCUCUUGCCUUGGCCUUUGGAUCCGGCCAUAGCAAGCAUCCCUGGGCACCUGGCUGAAGCUGGAAACUCGGGAUAAGAAUGGAAGCCCUGGAAGGGAAGAAGAACCGAGGAGAGGACAGCACAUUGCACUCUCACCUCCUUUGCAGUUAAGUGUGAAAUAGUGCCAAUAGAGUGUAAAAGAAAAGAAAGAAGAUGAUUCACCUCCCAAAGAUUCCCCACUGCUGUGUCCCUUCUAUCAACUUGAUACAAAAAAACACAAUGGCCCCGGGAACCACGUGUUGAAGAUGAGAGAGCUAAAAGAUGGAAAGAGACUGGAGCCCUGAGUCACCACCUGGAGGAAAACUACCCACCCAUCAGGAAUUUCUACUACACAUUUGGGAGUUUUUGGGGUUACAGCAGCUAAUUUAACGAAAACACCCAGAGACAAGAGCUAUUACUGCACAAAUUGGUUAAGUUACCUUUUUGUAUGUUUGGGUCCUCUCUAUUCGAUGAGACUGCGCGUUCCUUUGAAGCAAAUCUGUUUAAAAUUCUUAUAUCCCCAGAGGGCCUAGCAGAGAGUAUGCACAGAGUGAGCCUUCAGUAAAUGCUGAGUAAAUAAGCUCCUAAUGGAUGAAACUGUGUCUUCGAAGUUUGUUCUGACCAGUACUUAGUAUAGGAUUUUGUGCUGUUGGUCACUUUUCAUAAAGGUUCUUGCUAUUAAGGAACUUGACAUCCAAUGUACUCAUAGAAAGUAGAAAUUCAGGGGAAACAAAUAGAAGAGAUAUGUCCAAAAAUCCAUUUAAAAUUUCAUUGACAGAUAUUUAUCUCUUUAAUCCUGGAAGUUGUUUCAUGUAAGGGAAGGUUCAGUAGAAUGAAAACAGGACUGUAAGCUGGGAGGAGAUUUGGGGUCUCUUGGCCAACUCUGCCACAAAUUGUGUUACCUUCAACUUCCCUGCCUGUAAAAUGAAGUCAGUGGUCCCUAAAAUGAAAUUGGACUAAUGGCAAAUUAGCUAGCAUUUGAUUAUACAUCGAUAGUUUCCCCAUGUGAUUUUAACGCACAAAUCAGAUUUUGGAACCAUUAGGUAGGUGAUCUUAUCUUAUGAGUUUAUCUUUUUCAACAUGGAAAAAUAAAUUUGUUUUGCUGACCGAAGGCUGUGUAACUUAGAACUGGAAAGAGACAUGUAAUUGAAUAACCCAUCUCUAUGGGGCAAAAAAAUGAAACACCUUUAGUUUGUUCAAAGAUGAAAUGGAAAAAUAAACAUGUUUUAAGAUGA